This 450-nucleotide ribosomal RNA is filed under the name uncultured bacterium. RNAcentral describes it as "bacterial SSU rRNA". It matches the Rfam family "Bacterial small subunit ribosomal RNA", at positions 354 to 796 of the family's 1533-position model. The record is from RNAcentral.
GUGAGGAAUUUUGCGCAAUGGCCGCAAGGCUGACGCAGCAACGCCGCGUGGGUGAAGAAGGCCUUCGGGUCGUAAAGCCCUGUCAGGUGGGAAGAAAGGUCUUGAGAAGAAACGCUUGGGAUUUGACGGUACCACCAGAGGAAGCACCGGCUAACUCCGUGCCAGCAGCCGCGGUAAUACGGAGGGUGCGAGCGUUAUUCGGAAUUAUUGGGCGUAAAGCGCGUGUAGGCGGGGGAGCAAGUCUGAUGUGAAAGCCCCGGGCUUAACCUGGGAAGUGCAUUGGAAACUGUUUUUCUUGAGUACUGGAGAGGAAGGGGGAAUUCCCGGUGUAGAGGUGAAAUUCGUAGAGAUCGGGAGGAAUACCAGUGGCGUAGGCGCCUUUCUGGACGGUUACUGACGCUGAGACGCGAAAGCGUGGGGAGCAAACAGGAUUAGAAACCCGAGUAGUCC